AGUAGAAUGAGUGAAAAGUUUCCUUCCAGCAGGAGUGGACAAGCUGCCUCCACUGGUUGCCACUGCGUUCAUGCUUAGUUCAGGUGGCUGUUCCACUGAGAUUGCAUUGAGAUGAGGAGUGGAACCACCUGUGUGAGCAGAAAUGUUGCUACUGGCAGAAAGACUGAGAGCAGCUCUAACUCAGAUCAGAACUAUACUGGGACGAUAUUUUCAGACAGAAACUAUAACCUAGAGAUCUACACAUUCAAACAUGAGAGCUCAUAAAUGCUGGUUCAUACCAUUGGGAUGAUACCUUAUGCUUGAAGUUACAGGCUUUGCUCAAG
Ficedula albicollis (Collared flycatcher) is the source of this 323-nucleotide long non-coding RNA. RefSeq lists it as uncharacterized. The transcript is spliced from 3 exons. Lineage: Eukaryota; Metazoa; Chordata; Aves; Passeriformes; Muscicapidae. The record is from RefSeq and is a predicted model, not a curated record.